Haliotis rubra (blacklip abalone) is the source of this 1746-nucleotide long non-coding RNA. RefSeq lists it as uncharacterized. NCBI's taxonomy places the organism in Eukaryota, Metazoa, Mollusca, Gastropoda, Lepetellida, Haliotidae. The record is from RefSeq and is a predicted model, not a curated record. The transcript is spliced from 2 exons.
UAAAUGUUGGAUGCAGAAGUGAUUUCGACUUGAGAAGCUUGAUGAAAUUCAUGUAAAAUGUUUAUACCAUAUGUAUGUUGAUUCGACGUUCGGAAACCUGAUAAUUCAUCCUGAACGAGUUCUAUUUCAAAUAUUUGUUAUUGUUAUAAUAUUCUUCGGAAGGCAGUAGCGACUUGCUCUAGUUUAGUAUGUUACGUUUCAAGUCCACACACUGCAAACAAGUUUCAAGGAAAACCGUUUCUAAUUAAUCGUCAAAUUGCAACUGUCUUCGUUACAGUUAACAUCUGCAAUGUCGCGUUUCCUUUGGCCAGAACACACUCAGAAAGAAAGACAACCUAACAUUUCUCCAUCAUAAACACACAGGAUCUUUCAGCAUGCAUUUGCUUUGCAGUAUGUUUGCAUUACGUGGAAAAUGAUAUUUGCAUUGAUAAAAUACUUAAGGUUAAAUAAGUAGAGAUAUGUUAUAAAGAAGGUGUCGUGUUAUCAUUCUGUGCCAGUCUUCAUAAAUAGAUGUUUUUAAUAGGAGAUAAAUGGUAACAAAGUUACUGAAGCAGAAAUGAAUGUUGUUAUUCAUUUCUGCAAAUUAACGAAAGAAAUGACAGUGCAGUUCUAAUGUAUGCUUACAAUGCCCUUGCAUGAGGCUGUGUAACAUAUGUAUUAGACGAGUAAAGCAUAGCAUAUCGACGUCGUUAUUGUUAUUGUGUAUGAGGGUGUAAGCCUAUGAUCAGUUGUGCGCGACUGUUUCAGUUUUACUGGUAAUAUCGUGUCUGUACGUGAACAUUCUGCAAUAAUUUGCAUACAUUCUACAUAGCUGAUGGCGUUUGAUGGCCCCAGGAGGUUCUAAUGUCCAUGCAUAAAUGCAACUAUUCGGAUACUUUGUCAUGGUUUAAUCUGGCUACAGAGUCAGCUGGUUUUGAAACGUUUAUCUCAUGGCCAUGCAGAUUAGAAUUCAGAGACAUUACCAAAUGUUUCAAGAUUUAUUUGAGAAGUCAGAAUCUCAGUGGUUCAGAACAACCAAUCGCGAUAUUUCAGAAGUAACAAUCAUAUUCCUUUCCAUGGUUUAACAGUAUUUUUAUAUUUCACUAUUUUGUUGAAGUUACAGCAUCCCCGUUCUCUGUAUCCAUGGUUACACAUAAUCCAUUUAUAUCUCUCUCGAUGAUUUAGCACCCCUUGUAUCUAUGUCCAUGGAUACACGAAGUCCACGUCUAUCUCUCUUGAUGGAUAGCAUCCGUUAUAUCUGUGUCCAUGGUUACACAAAGUCCACCUCUAUCUCCCUCGAUGGUUUAGCAUCCCUUAUAUCUGUGUCCAUGGAUACACAAAGUCCACCUCUAUCUCCCUCGAUGGUUUAGCAUCCCUUAUAUCUGUGUCCAUGGAUACACAGAGUUCACCUCUAUCUCCCUCGAUGGUUUAGCAUCCCUUAUAUCUGUGUCCAUGGAUACACAAAGUCCACCGCUAUCUCUCUCGAUGGUUUAGCAUCCCUUAUAUCAGUGUUCAUGGAUACACAAAGUCCACCUCUAUCUCUCUCGAUGGUUUAGCAUCCCUUAUAUCUACGUCCAUAGAUACACAAAGUCCACCUCUAUCUCUCUCGAUGGUUUAGCAUCCCUAACAUCUGUGUCCAUGGAUACACAAAUCCACCUCUAUCUCUCGAUGGUUUUAGCAUCCCUAACAUCUGUGUCCAUGGAUACACAAAGUCCACCUCUAUCUCUCUCGAUUGUUUAGCACCCCUUAUAUCUGUGUCCAUGGAUA